GUUCACUAUGGCAGCACAUAUACUAAAAUUGGGACGAUACAGAGAAGAUUAGCAUGGUCCCUGUGCAAGGAUGACUGGCAAAUUUUGCCAAUCGAUCCAUAUAUAA
Molecule: small nuclear RNA, 106 nt
Filed under: Catagonus wagneri (Chacoan peccary)
Lineage: Eukaryota; Metazoa; Chordata; Mammalia; Artiodactyla; Tayassuidae
Source: RNAcentral